AACGCAGGUGGCGAGCGUUAUCCGGAAUUACUGGGCGUAAAGCGCGUGUAGGCGGGUCUUUAAGUCAGGGGUGAAAUGCCAAGGCUCAACCUUGGAACUGCCUUUGAUACUGGAGACCUUGAGUCCGGGAGAGGUGAGUGGAAUUGCGAGUGUAGAGGUGAAAUUCGUAGAUAUUCGCAAGAACACCAGUGGCGAAGGCGGCUCACUGGCCCGGAACUGACGCUGAGAUGCGAAAGCGUGGGGAGCAAACAGG
This 253-nucleotide ribosomal RNA is filed under the name uncultured bacterium. RNAcentral's name for it is "partial 16S ribosomal RNA". It matches the Rfam family "Bacterial small subunit ribosomal RNA", at positions 524 to 776 of the family's 1533-position model. The record is from RNAcentral.